CCUUUCUCUAGCCCACCACCGGUCCAACCCAACCCCUCUCAAGCCCAUACCCCUUCGAUGGAGAGGGCAACGCUCGUUGUCCUCUUCUCCAAAAGCGAGCACGCAGGAGGCGUGCUCCACCUCUGUGACCACCGCACAAUCCACCUCCAACCACUCCCUCCUCCCUUUUAAUCCCCACACCAGCGCAGCAAAACCCUAGCCUUCUUUUCCUCCCCUCGCGCCGCCAACCCUCUUCCCUUCUCUCUUUUCCCCUUUCUCUGUGAGCAAACGAAACAGGAGAAACCCCACUGCCACCACCGUCCUCGCCAUGGCGCCGCCGUCCCACACCUCCCCUCGCCACUCCAAGACCACCCCCAGAACCGGCUCGUCGUCCUCUACGUCCUCAUACAAGGAAUCGAUCCGGGAGGCCUUCAAUCGUCGCCAAUUCAUCGUUUCCCUCGAGCCAUAUGUCGCCUUUCUUCUUCGAUUCCGGCCACCUCGAACCUUCCCCGGCCGUCACACCACCCGUCGUUGGUCCGCUGCUCCAAGGCGCAUCUCUGGCACCAUCCAUCUCGCCUCGGUUCAUCCUCGAACGCCAGAUCCGGGCUCACCUGCAAGUUCCCGCCAUGGCCCCGAGCUCCGCUCCUAUCUGCUUCAAGUAGUGCGCGGCCCAUGUUCUUCAACAUCAAAACCAGCAGCCCAGUGAUGGGCCUCAGCCCGUAGCCCCGCACCAGCCCGUUGCCAACGCGCGGCAGACAGCUUCCCACUGCUUAAUCGCAUUUGCUUCUUCCCGGAUAGGAACGCGAAGUGGUGUUGUGCGGUACGACAAGUUCUUCUGCAACCUUUCACAGGCGAGCCCACCCCUUCACCUAUUUUACUUUUACAUGCUCUUUUGAUCUAUUGCUAUCCUUAUGUUGCGAUUCUGUUGUGUCACGUGUCCUAUCCACCUGUUACCUAUAUGUCCGAGAUACACCUCCUCGCCCUACCUAUUGUUUGUUGUUUGCCAGCUUUGCGAGUCGUAGGCGUGUUUAGGCUCUGUUGUUUAUCUCGAUCUGUUAUCGGGAUAUGUUGGGUUGUUGGGAGGUUUUCACAUGAUAUAUCAUUUGUUGGAGAUACACAUGCCUUACUUAAUUGUUAACAACUAAAAUUGUAAGCAGAGGCAUCUGUGAGCCCCUUUGCGAAAGCAUCGGAACUUUGACUUGCUAAUGUCCCCUAGGACCCGAGUUCUUGUUAUCUGUUCCGAGAUUGAGCGCUCUACCCGUACGUGGGGGAGUGGGACCCCCAUCACCCACUACCUUUCCUCGAGUCUGUUUAUUGGGAGCCACAACCUUGGUUUUAUUUGCUCAUAUGCACGAUGCAUGAUUUACUUCUGUUGCCUUCGGGUGUUUAUAUUCUGUUCUGUACUCAU
Lolium perenne is the source of this 1387-nucleotide non-coding RNA. Lineage: Eukaryota; Viridiplantae; Streptophyta; Magnoliopsida; Poales; Poaceae. The record is from RefSeq and is a predicted model, not a curated record.